UCCAUCCCUUUUUAACAUAAGUCGCUCUGGAUAAGAGCGUCUGCUAAAUGACUUAAA
Salmo salar (Atlantic salmon) is the source of this 57-nucleotide non-coding RNA. Lineage: Eukaryota; Metazoa; Chordata; Actinopteri; Salmoniformes; Salmonidae. The record is from Rfam.